RNAcentral lists this ribosomal RNA (433 nucleotides) under uncultured bacterium. RNAcentral's name for it is "partial 16S ribosomal RNA". It matches the Rfam family "Bacterial small subunit ribosomal RNA", at positions 29 to 507 of the family's 1533-position model. The record is from RNAcentral.
AGCGAACGCUGGCGGCAGGCCUAACACAUGCAAGUCGAACGAACUCUUCGGAGUUAGUGGUGGACGGGUGAGUAACACGUGGGAACGUGCCUUUUGGUUCGGAAUAACUCAGGGAAACUUGUGCUAAUACCGAAUGUGCCCUUCGGGGGAAAGAUUUUUUGCCAUUAGAGCGGCCCGCGUCUGAUUAGCUAGUUGGUGAGGUAACGGCUCACCAAGGCGACGAUCAGUAGCUGGUUUGAGAGGAUGACCAGCCACACUGGGACUGAGACACGGCCCAGACUCCUACGGGAGGCAGCAGUGGGGAAUCUUGCGCAAUGGGCGAAAGCCUGACGCAGCCAUGCCGCGUGAAUGAUGAAGGUCUUAGGAUUGUAAAAUUCUUUCACCGGGGACGAUAAUGACGGUACCCGGAGAAGAAGCCCCGGCUAACUUCGUG